GGAUUACAGGCGUGAGCCACCGCGCCCGGCCAGAUUAAGCUAUUUUCAAAGUUUGGAAUGUUGUUCCUGCUUCCCAGUAGGACAGAAGCUUGGGAGCAAAAUUAGGUAAGUUACAUACAAUUAAGAAGCUCCAUUAACAAAAUGCCUGAGCAGAGCUGUGUACAUUCUCAGCCCUAGAGAGUCCUGGCUCAGGUGCAGGUGGAGGGUGGGGGACACUGCUCCUCCUGCCCUGCCAGCAGCGAGCAAGUCACACCCCCAGCAGACACAUGGGGCCCGAUUGGCCAAUCAGAAGAUCCCUUCCUCCAGUCAGGGCUCAGCAUGCCACUCCAUAGGGACAUUUUCUUCCCCUGAAAAAGAGAUUCCUCCUUUACAUAGGGGGGAGUUGGUAAACCAAGAACUGCUGGAGGCCACUCCAUGAGCCGAG
This 424-nucleotide long non-coding RNA is filed under the name Homo sapiens (human). RNAcentral describes it as "HSALNT0060078". Lineage: Eukaryota; Metazoa; Chordata; Mammalia; Primates; Hominidae. The record is from RNAcentral.